This 301-nucleotide ribosomal RNA is filed under the name uncultured bacterium. RNAcentral describes it as "partial 16S ribosomal RNA". It matches the Rfam family "Bacterial small subunit ribosomal RNA", at positions 509 to 807 of the family's 1533-position model. The record is from RNAcentral.
CAGUAGCCGCGGGAAUACGAAGGGGGCUAGCGUUGCUCGGAAUGACUGGGCGUAAAGGGCGCGUAGGCGGUUGGUACAGUCAGAUGUGAAAUUCCUGGGCUUAACCUGGGGGCUGCAUUUGAUACGUGCUGGCUUGAGUGGGGAAGAGGGUCGUGGAAUUCCCAGUGUAGAGGUGAAAUUCGUAGAUAUUGGGAAGAACACCGGUGGCGAAGGCGGCGACCUGGUCCUUUACUGACGCUGAGGCGCGAAAGCGUGGGGAACAAACAGGAUUAGAUACCCGAGUAGUCCCUGUCUCUUAUAC